GACGAACGCUGGCGGCGUGCUUAACACAUGCAAGUCGAACGGUAAGGCCCUUCGGGGUACACGAGUGGCGAACGGGUGAGUAACACGUGGGUGACCUGCCCUGCACUUCGGGAUAAGCCUGGGAAACUGGGUCUAAUACCGGAUAGGACUCCGGACUGCAUGGUCUGGGGUGGAAAGCUUUUGCGGUGUGGGAUGGGCCCGCGGCCUAUCAGCUUGUUGGUGGGGUGAUGGCCUACCAAGGCGACGACGGGUAGCCGGCCUGAGAGGGUGACCGGGCACACUGGGACUGAGAUACGGCCCAGACUCCUACGGGAGGCAGCAGUGGGGAAUAUUGCACAAUGGGCGCAAGCCUGAUGCAGCGACGCCGCGUGAGGGAUGACGGCCUUCGGGUUGUAAACCUCUUUCAGCAUCGACGAAGCGAAAGUGACGGUAGGUGCAGAAGAAGGACCGGCCAACUACGUGCCAGCAGCCGCGGUAA
RNAcentral lists this ribosomal RNA (478 nucleotides) under uncultured bacterium. RNAcentral describes it as "partial 16S ribosomal RNA". It matches the Rfam family "Bacterial small subunit ribosomal RNA", at positions 28 to 523 of the family's 1533-position model. The record is from RNAcentral.